AUACGGAGGAUCCGAGCGUUAUCCGGAUUUAUUGGGUUUAAAGGGUGCGCAGGCGGCCAUUUAAGUCAGCGGUUAAAUCGUGGGGCUCAACCCCAUUCUGCCGUUGAUACUGGGUGGCUUGAUUGCGGUCGAGGUUGGCGGAAUUCGUUGUGUAGCGGUGAAAUGCAUAGAUAUGACGAAGAACACCGAUUGCGUAGGCAGCUGUCCAGACCGCAAAUGACGCUCAUGCACGAAAGUGCGGGGAUCGAACAGGAUUAGAUACCCUGGUAGUGCGCACAGUAAACGAUGAAUACUUGUUUUCGGCGAUAUAAUGUCGGAGGCAAAGCGAAAGCGAUAAGUAUUCCCCCUGGGGAGUACGCCGGCACCGGUGAAACUCAAAGGAAUUGACGGGG
This 392-nucleotide ribosomal RNA is filed under the name uncultured bacterium. RNAcentral describes it as "partial 16S ribosomal RNA". It matches the Rfam family "Bacterial small subunit ribosomal RNA", at positions 523 to 918 of the family's 1533-position model. The record is from RNAcentral.